This is a long non-coding RNA of Eriocheir sinensis (Chinese mitten crab), 774 nucleotides long. RefSeq lists it as uncharacterized. The transcript has 2 exons. The record is from RefSeq and is a predicted model, not a curated record. Lineage: Eukaryota; Metazoa; Arthropoda; Malacostraca; Decapoda; Varunidae.
UAAAUAGAAAAAAAGAAAGGCAGAAUUAUAUAGAGUGGUAAAGUUAAGAUGUUAUGUAGAUAGGCAUACUUCUUCGGUUGGAAAUAAAUAAAAAAAUCUUGUUAAUAAGUAUGAGUAGAAAAAAAAAUUAAGAAAGAAAGGAAAAAAUAUAUACACAGGUUAGGUAGUAUGGUGGUAAAGUUUAGAGGUGAAGUAGAUAGGCAGGCUUGUUCGGUAUGAAAUCAAAAAAAGAUAUUGUUCAUGAGUAUAAAUAGAAAAAAAAAAGAAGAGAGGAAGAAAGACAAAAUUAUAUACUCAGGUUAGGUAGUAUGGUGAUAAAUUUUAGAGGUGAAGUAGAUAGACAGGCUUGUUCGGUAGGAAAUUAAAAAAGAUCUUGUUCAUGAGUAUAAAUAGAAAAAAAAGAAGAGAGGAAGAAAGACAAAAUUAUAUACACAGGUUAGCUAGUAUAGUAAAGUUUGAAGGUGAAGUAGAUAGACAGGCUUGUUAGGUAGGAAAUUAAAAAAGAUCUUGUUCAUGAGUAUAAAUAGAAAAAAAAGAAGAGGAAGAAAGACAAAAUUAUAUACACAGGUUAGCUAGUAUAGUGAUAAAGUUUAAAGGUGAAGUAGAUAGGCAGGCUUGUUCGGUAGGAAAUUAAAAAAAGAUCUUGUUCAUGAUUAUAAAUAGAAAAAAAAGAAGAGAGGAAGAAAGACAAAAUUAUAUACACAGGUUAGUUAGUAUAGUGGUAAAGUUUAAAGGUGAAGUAGAUAGGCAGGCUUGUUCGGUAGGAAAUAUAAA